RNAcentral lists this ribosomal RNA (2746 nucleotides) under Shigella flexneri. Its description in RNAcentral is "partial 23S ribosomal RNA". It matches the Rfam family "Bacterial large subunit ribosomal RNA". The record is from RNAcentral. Lineage: Bacteria; Pseudomonadati; Pseudomonadota; Gammaproteobacteria; Enterobacterales; Enterobacteriaceae.
UAAUGAGGCGAACCGGGGGAACUGAAACAUCUAAGUACCCCGAGGAAAAGAAAUCAACCGAGAUUCCCCCAGUAGCGGCGAGCGAACGGGGAGCAGCCCAGAGCCUGAAUCAGUGUGUGUGUUAGUGGAAGCGUCUGGAAAGGCGUGCGAUACAGGGUGACAGCCCCGUACACAAAAAUGCACAUACUGUGAGCUCGAUGAGUAGGGCGGGACACGUGGUAUCCUGUCUGAAUAUGGGGGGACCAUCCUCCAAGGCUAAAUACUCCUGACUGACCGAUAGUGAACCAGUACCGUGAGGGAAAGGCGAAAAGAACCCCGGCGAGGGGAGUGAAAAAGAACCUGAAACCGUGUACGUACAAGCAGUGGGAGCACGCUUAGGCGUGUGACUGCGUACCUUUUGUAUAAUGGGUCAGCGACUUAUAUUCUGUAGCAAGGUUAACCGAAUAGGGGAGCCGAAGGGAAACCGAGUCUUAACUGGGCGUUAAGUUGCAGGGUAUAGACCCGAAACCCGGUGAUCUAGCCAUGGGCAGGUUGAAGGUUGGGUAACACUAACUGGAGGACCGAACCGACUAAUGUUGAAAAAUUAGCGGAUGACUUGUGGCUGGGGGUGAAAGGCCAAUCAAACCGGGAGAUAGCUGGUUCUCCCCGAAAGCUAUUUAGGUAGCGCCUCGUGAAUUCAUCUCCGGGGGUAGAGCACUGUUUCGGCAAGGGGGUCAUCCCGACUUACCAACCCGAUGCAAACUGCGAAUACCGGAGAAUGUUAUCACGGGAGACACACGGCGGGUGCUAACGUCCGUCGUGAAGAGGGAAACAACCCAGACCGCCAGCUAAGGUCCCAAAGUCAUGGUUAAGUGGGAAACGAUGUGGGAAGGCCCAGACAGCCAGGAUGUUGGCUUAGAAGCAGCCAUCAUUUAAAGAAAGCGUAAUAGCUCACUGGUCGAGUCGGCCUGCGCGGAAGAUGUAACGGGGCUAAACCAUGCACCGAAGCUGCGGCAGCGACGCUUAUGCGUUGUUGGGUAGGGGAGCGUUCUGUAAGCCUGUGAAGGUGUGCUGUGAGGUAUGCUGGAGGUAUCAGAAGUGCGAAUGCUGACAUAAGUAACGAUAAAGCGGGUGAAAAGCCCGCUCGCCGGAAGACCAAGGGUUCCUGUCCAACGUUAAUCGGGGCAGGGUGAGUCGACCCCUAAGGCGAGGCCGAAAGGCGUAGUCGAUGGGAAACAGGUUAAUAUUCCUGUACUUGGUGUUACUGCGAAGGGGGGACGGAGAAGGCUAUGUUGGCCGGGCGACGGUUGUCCCGGUUUAAGCGUGUAGGCUGGUUUUCCAGGCAAAUCCGGAAAAUCAAGGCCGAGGCGUGAUGACGAGGCACUACGGUGCUGAAGCAACAAAUGCCCUGCUUCCAGGAAAAGCCUCUAAGCAUCAGGUAACAUCAAAUCGUACCCCAAACCGACACAGGUGGUCAGGUAGAGAAUACCAAGGCGCUUGAGAGAACUCGGGUGAAGGAACUAGGCAAAAUGGUGCCGUAACUUCGGGAGAAGGCACGCUGAUACGUAGGUGAAGCGACUUGCUCGUGGAGCUGAAAUCAGUCGAAGAUACCAGCUGGCUGCAACUGUUUAUUAAAAACACAGCACUGUGCAAACACGAAAGUGGACGUAUACGGUGUGACGCCUGCCCGGUGCCGGAAGGUUAAUUGAUGGGGUUAGCGCAAGCGAAGCUCUUGAUCGAAGCCCCGGUAAACGGCGGCCGUAACUAUAACGGUCCUAAGGUAGCGAAAUUCCUUGUCGGGUAAGUUCCGACCUGCACGAAUGGCGUAAUGAUGGCCAGGCUGUCUCCACCCGAGACUCAGUGAAAUUGAACUCGCUGUGAAGAUGCAGUGUACCCGCGGCAAGACGGAAAGACCCCGUGAACCUUUACUAUAGCUUGACACUGAACAUUGAGCCUUGAUGUGUAGGAUAGGUGGGAGGCUUUGAAGUGUGGACGCCAGUCUGCAUGGAGCCGACCUUGAAAUACCACCCUUUAAUGUUUGAUGUUCUAACGUGGACCCGUGAUCCGGGUUGCGGACAGUGUCUGGUGGGUAGUUUGACUGGGGCGGUCUCCUCCUAAAGAGUAACGGAGGAGCACGAAGGUUGGCUAAUCCUGGUCGGACAUCAGGAGGUUAGUGCAAUGGCAUAAGCCAGCUUGACUGCGAGCGUGACGGCGCGAGCAGGUGCGAAAGCAGGUCAUAGUGAUCCGGUGGUUCUGAAUGGAAGGGCCAUCGCUCAACGGAUAAAAGGUACUCCGGGGAUAACAGGCUGAUACCGCCCAAGAGUUCAUAUCGACGGCGGUGUUUGGCACCUCGAUGUCGGCUCAUCACAUCCUGGGGCUGAAGUAGGUCCCAAGGGUAUGGCUGUUCGCCAUUUAAAGUGGUACGCGAGCUGGGUUUAGAACGUCGUGAGACAGUUCGGUCCCUAUCUGCCGUGGGCGCUGGAGAACUGAGGGGGGCUGCUCCUAGUACGAGAGGACCGGAGUGGACGCAUCACUGGUGUUCGGGUUGUCAUGCCAAUGGCACUGCCCGGUAGCUAAAUGCGGAAGAGAUAAGUGCUGAAAGCAUCUAAGCACGAAACUUGCCCCGAGAUGAGUUCUCCCUGACCCUUUAAGGGUCCUGAAGGAACGUUGAAGACGACGACGUUGAUAGGCCGGGUGUGUAAGCGCAGCGAUGCGUUGAGCUAACCGGUACUAAUGAACCGUGAGGCUUAACCUUACAACGCCGAAG